AAAAGCCUUCUAAAAGCCUCCAUAGCUAGAAGAGAACAAAGUUGUCACUUCUUGUGAUCAAAUUCAGCACUUCCUUUCUUCUGCCACCAUCAUGAAUGUAUGUUACACAGAAAAGCCACGUGAGGCUGAGUCCCAGGACUCCCAUAAAGCCAGGAAUACAGUUAUCUCCAGGCAAGUCCUGGGGAACUACUGCAGGUAAGUAAAGGCAGGUCUAGAGGGCAG
Molecule: long non-coding RNA, 222 nt
Filed under: Bos taurus (domestic cattle)
Lineage: Eukaryota; Metazoa; Chordata; Mammalia; Artiodactyla; Bovidae
Description: long non-coding RNA NONBTAT025442
Source: RNAcentral